RNAcentral lists this ribosomal RNA (253 nucleotides) under uncultured bacterium. RNAcentral describes it as "partial 16S ribosomal RNA". It matches the Rfam family "Bacterial small subunit ribosomal RNA", at positions 524 to 776 of the family's 1533-position model. The record is from RNAcentral.
GACGAACCGUCCAAACGUUGUUCGGAAUCACUGGGCUUAAAGGGCGCGUAGGCGGACUGCCAAGUCCGGGGUGAAAUCUUUCGGCUUAACCGGAAAAGGGCCUUGGAAACUGGCGGUCUCGAGGGAGGUAGGGGCCUGUGGAACUUCGGGUGGAGCGGUGAAAUGCGUUGAUAUCGGAAGGAACGCCGGUGGCGAAAGCGACGUGCUGGCCCUCUUCUGACGCUGAGGCGCGAAAGCCAGGGGAGCAAACGGG